GACAGGGGCUUCGCUCAGCUUCCGGGCCCGUUAGGGCCUCUGUCCACUGUUCUCCGUAGAAGAUAACCUACCUUGGAAAUGAAGAUUGAAUUCUGAGGCCAUUUCACCCAGGGCAACAGAAUAACAGGAUGUCAAGGAGUGCCACAAAACUGAAGAGAUCAUCCCAACCAGCAUUUAAAUAAGCCUUGAGAUGAACACACAUGAGAAAAAAAGAGGUUAAACAAUUGUUGGAAACCUCCACAGAAUCAGACAGCAAGCCAACAGAACUGUCUCUAAAGAAUAUUAAGUAGUUUUGGAUUUAUGGCCACCAUCUUCUCUUACUAAAAAUGAGAAAACUAGAAGAUCACAGAUCGUUGGUCAAGUUUUCAUUCAGCUAUUGGUGAAGCUAGCUGUCAAACCCAAGUAGUCUGCUGGUAACAACAAUGCUAAAUACAUAGUCCCUAUUGAAAAAACAAAAGAACAAAAUAAUUGAUCAUUUCUUUGAGGUAAUACUUUUGUGUCCUAAUGAUUGUACAUAAAAAUUGCUGAACUAAU
Non-coding RNA from Callorhinus ursinus (northern fur seal), 534 nucleotides. The record is from RefSeq and is a predicted model, not a curated record. NCBI's taxonomy places the organism in Eukaryota, Metazoa, Chordata, Mammalia, Carnivora, Otariidae.